Molecule: ribosomal RNA, 492 nt
Filed under: uncultured bacterium
Lineage: Bacteria
Description: partial 16S ribosomal RNA
Rfam family: Bacterial small subunit ribosomal RNA
Source: RNAcentral
AGUGAACGCUGGCGGUAGGCCUAACACAUGCAAGUCGAACGGCAGCACAGUAAGGGCUUGCUCUUACGGUUGGCGAGUGGCGGACGGGUGAGGAAUACAUCGGAAUCUACUUUUUCGUCGGGGAUAACGUAGGGAAACUUACGCUAAUACCGCAUACGACCUACGUGUGAAAGCAGGGGAUCUUCGUACCUUGCGCGAUUGAAUGAGCCGAUGUCGGAUUAGCUAGUUGGCGGGGUAAAGGCCCACCAAGGCGACGAUCCGUAGCUGGUCUGAGAGGAUGAUCAGCCACACAGGAACAGAGACACGGUCCAGACUCCUACGGGAGGCAGCAGUGGGGAAUAUUGGACAAUGGGCGCAAGCAUGAUCCAGCCAUACCGCGUGUGUGAAGAAGGCCUUCGGGUUGUAAAGCCCUUUUGUUGGGAAAGAAAAGCAGCAGGUUAAUACCCCGCGGUUCUGACGGUACCCAAAGAAUAAGCACCGGCUAACUUCGUG